UAAAGAAUUAAACAUCUUUUUCAAUAUUUGUAUAUUGUCAUUUCUUUAAUUUCGUCUCUCCCUCCUCUCUCUAAACACCCAGAGACGAACAAACCAAACCCCAUUUCCCUCAAACCCUCUCCAAUCACUGCCGCCCUACAAUCAACACCAGCCAUCGUCGUUUUACAUCAUCAUUUUUCAAGAUCAAUUUCUGAUUUGGGGCCUCAUCAAGUCGGAUGUUUCCGGUGAUCGAUCUUUUUGGAUCUUCUAUACGUGAGGUACAUAGGUUCAUAUUGCAACAUUCGAUCUUUUUGGAUCUUUUUAUGAACAGCAAGAGAAAAAAGUGGGAAAAUAUGCAUUUGAAAAAAGCUUUUAUUUGGGUGAGGGUACGUGUUACUCUAUAGGAUCAGAAAGAAGAUUUUAGUGACCAUGGCACUCGAGUGGUUUGUUCUUGAACAACCUAUUAAUACGAUAAACCAAUCAAGCCUUGAACCAGGAGUUUAGAUUGUGGCCUAUAUUCAACAUAGUUAUUAGCCUUAACCCAUUGUAAACUGAAAUCCCGUCACCAUGUGUGGGUUCCUUGCUAUACCAUAUCAUAUAUUUGUAAUUAAGUUUUGAAUCGUUAGCUUGACAACGUGGCUUGGUGUGAAAAAUUGGUUAAUGUGUAUCUUUGUUUUAGCACCGGCUAAAGAAGCAGGUUCAAGGUAUAUAUUAUUUAGAGUUGACACCGGCGCAUCGCGCGGGCAUAUGACUCGUAACCAUAGAAGCAUGAUGUCGUUAUUUAUAGGAAGCAACUUGUGGACAAGCAGACUCUUAGCCUCAUACUGUGGUAUGCUAUUGGUGGGACUUUAUGAAUGAUUGAAGGAACAAGUUUGUGGUCAAGUCGUCAAGAUGUGAUGUCGUGGAUGUCAUCUGUCGUGCUGUUAAGAGAGAUACCCAAAUUCAAUUCAUUUUCAAUUUUGUAUAAUCUAUCAUUCAAUAUUUAGUGAAUACUUAUGGAUGUUCAAGAUACAAUUUUUUGGCAAUAACAUCACGAAGGUCGAGUAUGUUAGUAUUUUUUGACA
Erigeron canadensis is the source of this 1043-nucleotide long non-coding RNA. RefSeq lists it as uncharacterized. NCBI's taxonomy places the organism in Eukaryota, Viridiplantae, Streptophyta, Magnoliopsida, Asterales, Asteraceae. The transcript is spliced from 3 exons. The record is from RefSeq and is a predicted model, not a curated record.